This 843-nucleotide ribosomal RNA is filed under the name Staphylococcus aureus. RNAcentral describes it as "partial 23S ribosomal RNA". It matches the Rfam family "Bacterial large subunit ribosomal RNA", at positions 1603 to 2447 of the family's 2925-position model. Lineage: Bacteria; Bacillati; Bacillota; Bacilli; Caryophanales; Staphylococcaceae. The record is from RNAcentral.
CACUGCCGAGAAAAGCCUCUAGAUAGAAAAUAGGUGCCCGUACCGCAAACCGACACAGGUAGUCAAGAUGAGAAUUCUAAGGUGAGCGAGCGAACUCUCGUUAAGGAACUCGGCAAAAUGACCCCGUAACUUCGGGAGAAGGGGUGCUCUUUAGGGUUAACGCCCAGAAGAGCCGCAGUGAAUAGGCCCAAGCGACUGUUUAUCAAAAACACAGGUCUCUGCUAAACCGUAAGGUGAUGUAUAGGGGCUGACGCCUGCCCGGUGCUGGAAGGUUAAGAGGAGUGGUUAGCUUCUGCGAAGCUACGAAUCGAAGCCCCAGUAAACGGCGGCCGUAACUAUAACGGUCCUAAGGUAGCGAAAUUCCUUGUCGGGUAAGUUCCGACCCGCACGAAAGGCGUAACGAUUUGGGCACUGUCUCAACGAGAGACUCGGUGAAAUCAUAGUACCUGUGAAGAUGCAGGUUACCCGCGACAGGACGGAAAGACCCCGUGGAGCUUUACUGUAGCCUGAUAUUGAAAUUCGGCACAGCUUGUACAGGAUAGGUAGGAGCCUUUGAAACGUGAGCGCUAGCUUACGUGGAGGCGCUGGUGGGAUACUACCCUAGCUGUGUUGGCUUUCUAACCCGCACCACUUAUCGUGGUGGGAGACAGUGUCAGGCGGGCAGUUUGACUGGGGCGGUCGCCUCCUAAAAGGUAACGGAGGCGCUCAAAGGUUCCCUCAGAAUGGUUGGAAAUCAUUCAUAGAGUGUAAAGGCAUAAGGGAGCUUGACUGCGAGACCUACAAGUCGAGCAGGGUCGAAAGACGGACUUAGUGAUCCGGUGGUUCCGCAUGGAAGGGCCAUCG